This is a long non-coding RNA of Lagopus muta (rock ptarmigan), 2457 nucleotides long. RefSeq lists it as uncharacterized. The record is from RefSeq and is a predicted model, not a curated record. NCBI's taxonomy places the organism in Eukaryota, Metazoa, Chordata, Aves, Galliformes, Phasianidae. The transcript has 3 exons.
CCAAAGAGAUCCUUUUCACCGCUCCGUUUGAGCCGUAAUGCCUUGGGGCGUCCUGUAUUCCUGCUAAAGUGAGGGCAGAAUUACAGCAAACAAACAAACAAACACCAAACAACCCAAAACAACCCCUAACUUUGAGAAAUCCGCUCAUAAAGCAGCAUGGGAGGUUGCAUUGUGCUGUAAAAGCACAUCGUCCUCCUGAAAGCAAAACCAGACACACGAGAAGCGCACGGCGAGCAGUCGGACACGGAGCUGCUCCAGCAGGGAAUGGUGGGCACAGGUCUUCUGGCAAGCAGACUGCUGAGAACGUCUCUGUGAUGAGGGACGAAGGAUGUGCUUGAAAUGGGAGGAUUGUGUUCUGUGCAACCACUGAGCAAAGGAGCUGUGGAGAUCUGCUGCCAUCAGUGCCCAGUUUGGUACUGGAAAGCCUAAGCCAGUGCCAGUAAUGAGAUUUGGUGAAGGAGAAAAUUUGUAUUUAACAAAACAGAAAAAGCCUCGGGUGAUAGAGAAGAAAAAGGAGAGCAGCAGGACAAGUGGAAGCCAUCGAGGUGCCCUUAAAGCAGCAGAGCAGUGGCACACGAGGCUUCCAGGAGCCCGGCCUCAGAAGAAGUGCCCCAUAGGCUGUCACUGAGUUGAACUUAUGUACUGAUUUUACAUCUCUUUCAAAAGCAGCAACGUUAUUUAAAAGAAAAUGCUAUAAUGCUUUUAUACGGAAGAAAUUUGUAUUGGAACGUCCGUGGAAUGGCCCUGAGCUGCUGAAUUCAUCACCUGCUUGGCAUGUUUUCCCAUAGGCAGGGUUCUCAUGAGGCCUGAGUGCCCAUAGCAAACUUUGAUGUGAAACUGGGAUGUGAUCAACACCCAGAGAUGUCAGCAGAGGACAGAACCUGUUGGUUUUCCUGGUGCUCCCCAUUCCCCAGCAGCUGCUGUUCUUCUCUUGAGUUUGUCUGCUUCAUUCAGUGAUGCGGAUCUGUGCCUCACAUCCACUCUGCAGUUAGAAAUAGUUACACAGGUUGCCAUGAAUAAAAGCUUAUCUUGCCAGGAUGGGGAUGACACAGUUCUGAUACUGUGGUUAGACUUGGAGGAGCAUUAAUUCCAAUGUGUCAGCCUGUGUGGGUGAAGUGCUGGCCCUUAUUCCUGUCCUGUGUUCCUUUCCCACCAUAGGGAUGCACUGCCAUGACUGAGCGCAGUGCUGACACGGCCCAGCUGUGUCUGUCUGUCCUUCCUUCACUUAAAGCAAGCUCAAAGGACUACGAGAGCGUUGAAUAGCAGAAGAACUAAUUGGUAUUUUUGAAAAUGUAACAUUAAGUAAAGCUCAAAGUUUAUGAACAGGUUUGAUAGAGAACUAAAAGACCCAUGAUGUGUUUCUAUGGAAACUACAGCUUAAGGUUUUUAUCUGAUGAGAUUCUAAAAGGAGAACAAUCUGUCUCUUUUCUGAUUUCAGUAGACAGAGAAUAAAUACAGCCAAAUCAAUUGCUAAGUGGUCUUUGAAAAGAUAGCUAAUGAAGUGCUUCAGGAUGAAAACUGCUGCAAAAAUGGAAGGUGACACUUCUGUCUUAAUCACUGCCACUAAUUAUAUGAGAUUUUCAGGACAGAUUGCUGGUGAGAAGCUGCAGCUCAGCAGUCAAAAUAUUUGUGCAUGUUUCCAUGCAGCUGCUGUCCCUGCUUUGUUUGUUUAUUUAUUUAUUUGCGCUCCGUCUGAUGACGAGAGCUUCUGUCACACAGCGUGGUGCUCACGGACGGUCCUGGGCCGUGUGUGGGAAUCUGCUGUGUGCUUCUCUGCCCACCUCCAGUGCUGACCCCACAUCCCGCUUCCAGCGCCCAACGUGGCCCUGGGGCUGCUUGGGAGCUGCUGGCCCUGUGUGUGCUGUGCUGGGCUGGGCUGAGCGCUGCUGCUGUGUGCUGUGCGAUGGCUGGGCUGCACCAUUGGCUCGUUGUAGCACACGUGCAGUGUGCUGGUCAGAAGUGAAAGCUGUGAUUCACGAAGCCAUUGUGCUAUUCCUGUCCACGUUUUCAUUCACUUUGAUGUCACUUGCUUGAUCUGCACAGAUUGCUCCCAGCCUUACGAUUCGUGGCGCACAGUCUAUUCAUCCUCACUUUCUUCCAGAUCUUUCAGUAUUUGAUGGCAGGGACUCACGUCACCAAGCCUUCACCCAGAGCCAGAGCACCUUGUGCCAGCUGUGAUGAGCUCCUCCCCACUUCCCCAGGCCACACAAUUAACUUCAUUUUGAAAAGAACAUAUGGCCGUGUUUAGAACUGGCAGAGGCUGAGAUGUUUCCACUUUUGAUUCUCUUCUAAUUUUGACGGUCACAGCAAAUGAAAUAACAUAUGUACUUGUGUCUUCCUUCUGAUGAAGAAAAAUACCAAACUGAGGUUAUCUGAAUACUAAUAUACACGGCCUCUUUUCUCUGACACAAAAGGAAUCAUACCCUUCUGCACGGUGAUGGCUUCUUACAAAGCAAC